UGGAAUACAGUUUCGAACCUGAUUCUCAGUAUCUGAUCCAGAAAGAGACUCGGCUGCAGGUACAUGUGAACAGGACUGAGCCCACCACUGUAUAUCUGCCAGUCAUUCCAACACUUCUCAUCCUGCCCAUCUGCUUCAUAAUCUUCAUCAACUUCAGCAACAAAGGAGGGUGUUCACAGCAAAUCAAGAGAACGACACCUUUGAAAAGG
Long non-coding RNA from Hemiscyllium ocellatum (epaulette shark), 209 nucleotides. RefSeq lists it as uncharacterized. NCBI's taxonomy places the organism in Eukaryota, Metazoa, Chordata, Chondrichthyes, Orectolobiformes, Hemiscylliidae. The record is from RefSeq and is a predicted model, not a curated record. The transcript has 3 exons.